GACGAACGCUGGCGGCGUGCUUAACACAUGCAAGUCGAGCGGUAAGGCUCCUUCGGGAGUACACGAGCGGCGAACGGGUGAGUAACACGUGAGCAAUCUGCCCUUCACAUCGGGAGUAACUUCGGGAAACCGGAAGCUAAUACCGAAUACGACCACCGAUGGCAUCAUCUGGUGGUGGAAAGUUCCGGCGGUGAAGGAUGAGCUCGCGGCCUAUCAGCUUGUUGGUGGA
This 229-nucleotide ribosomal RNA is filed under the name uncultured bacterium. Its description in RNAcentral is "partial 16S ribosomal RNA". It matches the Rfam family "Bacterial small subunit ribosomal RNA", at positions 28 to 256 of the family's 1533-position model. The record is from RNAcentral.